Small nucleolar RNA from Rhinichthys klamathensis goyatoka, 68 nucleotides. RefSeq annotates it as small nucleolar RNA SNORD58. The record is from RefSeq and is a predicted model, not a curated record. NCBI's taxonomy places the organism in Eukaryota, Metazoa, Chordata, Actinopteri, Cypriniformes, Leuciscidae. The transcript has a single exon.
CUGCGAUGAUGACUACUUAGGACACCUUUUUAUUAAUCAUGAAAAGAAUCAAGUAUAUUCUGAGUAGC